UGCAUUCAUGUUGCCAGUUUGGCUUUGCCAACUGGUAACUGUGGUGUCAAGGAAGGCAGACAUUGGCUGCUGUGCAGCCUCAAGACUUGGUGUCUCCUAUGUGGAACCUACACAACCAACAGGU
Molecule: small nucleolar RNA, 124 nt
Organism: Ochotona princeps (American pika)
Lineage: Eukaryota; Metazoa; Chordata; Mammalia; Lagomorpha; Ochotonidae
Source: Ensembl